Molecule: long non-coding RNA, 643 nt
Organism: Gallus gallus (chicken)
Lineage: Eukaryota; Metazoa; Chordata; Aves; Galliformes; Phasianidae
Source: Ensembl
CCCCCCCAUUUAAGCACUGACUGCCAUAGGGAGAAGGAUCUUUUUCUGAAGAUUGCUCCUUUUGGAGUUUUUUCUGUGAGCCUAUGACGCAGUGAUCAGUUGAAAUGCAGACCAUACUCAAGUGAGUUUGUUGAAGAUGGAUACAUUUUAAUAUAUUAAUUUCAGGACUUCAGUAAGUUAAAGGAUAAGUUGAGUAUCUGCUGCUUAGGAGUUGCCAUAUAAGUGAAUUCAGGAAACACUAAAAUCAUAAGUGUUUCAAAUGUGAGAUACUGCUUUGAAGAACAGCUUUGAGCUCUGAAGGAAGAGAAAUUCUUCCCCAUUGUUUUCAUCACCAGUUUGUCUAAAUCUUCCAGCAAACAUUACAGUUUGUGCGCUGACUUAAGCAUUGCUCAGUUGCUGGUUGACCAAGGCAUGAAUACUAAGUAUGGCAUUUACAGUCAAGUCUUCUUUCUGACACCAAGUGUGCAUCAUCAAUAGUAACACAGAACUACUUAUCAAGAAAGAUGAUCAUGCUUUUAUAAUUUUGAAUUCUGGCUAGGAGUGAAUCAAUAAAAACGUGCCAUGACUUAAAAGAAAAAAACAGUAUUCAAAUCAGUCUUUUGAUUAGCCAAGAAAUUUGAAUUUCUUAGAAUGUGUAAAGGAU